RNAcentral lists this ribosomal RNA (253 nucleotides) under uncultured bacterium. RNAcentral describes it as "partial 16S ribosomal RNA". It matches the Rfam family "Bacterial small subunit ribosomal RNA", at positions 524 to 776 of the family's 1533-position model. The record is from RNAcentral.
UACGUAGGGUGCAAGCGUUGGCCGGAAUUAUUGGGCGUAAAGAGCUUGUAGGCGGUUUGUCGCGUCUGCUGUGAAAUUUCGGGGCUCAACCCCGAACUUGCAGUGGGUACGGGCAGACUAGAGUGUGGUAGGGGAGACUGGAAUUCCUGGUGUAGCGGUGGAAUGCGCAGAUAUCAGGAGGAACACCGGUGGCGAAGGCGGGUCUCUGGGCCGACAUUGACGCUGAGGAGCGAAAGCGUGGGGAGCGAACAGG